Molecule: ribosomal RNA, 496 nt
Filed under: uncultured bacterium
Lineage: Bacteria
Description: bacterial SSU rRNA
Rfam family: Bacterial small subunit ribosomal RNA
Source: RNAcentral
GACAGGUGCUGCAUGGCUGUCGUCAGCUCGUGUUGUGAAAUGUUGGGUUAAGUCCCGCAACGAGCGCAACCCUUAUCCUUUGUUGCCAGCGGUCCGGCCGGGAACUCAAAGGAGACUGCCAGUGAUAAACUGGAGGAAGGUGGGGAUGACGUCAAGUCAUCAUGGCCCUUACGACCAGGGCUACACACGUGCUACAAUGGCGCAUACAAAGAGAAGCGACCUCGCGAGAGCAAGCGGACCUCAUAAAGUGCGUCGUAGUCCGGAUUGGAGUCUGCAACUCGACUCCAUGAAGUCGGAAUCGCUAGUAAUCGUGGAUCAGAAUGCCACGGUGAAUACGUUCCCGGGCCUUGUACACACCGCCCGUCACACCAUGGGAGUGGGUUGCAAAAGAAGUAGGUAGCUUAACCUUCGGGAGGGCGCUUACCACUUUGUGAUUCAUGACUGGGGUGAAGUCGUAACAAGGUAACCGUAGGGGAACCUGCGGCUGGAUCACCUC